This is a long non-coding RNA of Artibeus jamaicensis (Jamaican fruit-eating bat), 2929 nucleotides long. RefSeq lists it as uncharacterized. The record is from RefSeq and is a predicted model, not a curated record. The transcript has 3 exons. Lineage: Eukaryota; Metazoa; Chordata; Mammalia; Chiroptera; Phyllostomidae.
GGCCGCUGCGGCCGCGCCGCGCCUGGUGGGAUUCCGUAGACCCCGCGGGACACCGACGGCUUCGGAACGCUCCGGGUGUUAACAUCCGCGGUCGAGGGGGCAGGUUCGUGUGCCUGGCGAAGCACGUAAAGCCCAAGAAGGGGACCUCGAGGGCGGAAACAGAAGCUUUAUCAGCGGGUGGCUACCCAGAAAACUUCUGAAUCGGAGGAGCUAGGCGCGAACAGAUUUUGCAGUCGUGACUCCUGCCACUUUUUUUUUUAGAGGAGAACGCGACACUCUACACCACUUUUUCUAGACAAAUCUCAGCGCUCCAGAGAUAACUCUGAGAACAGAGAGGUCAUCUAGUUUUAAGAAAAACCGGAUCACUAAAUCGUCUGCGUUACUCAUUUCGGAAACCACAGCAAUUUGAUUUGAGCGAUACGAUGAGGUCUCGCCCUCGUGGUUUACGUUGUGUCAUUUUGGAAAAGUUCUUAAUCAAGUUUUUAGAAUUGGAAAGUUUAGGUAUUCCAGUUUAGACUUCUCGUGUAUAAAUAGAAUUUUUAAAAGGGGGCUCAGAGAGUGAAGUGAUUUGGUCAAACAGUUAAGGAAAGCUAGAGGAAGAAGAGAAGGAAGGGAGAUGGAGCCACGAGGGAAGGCUGGCAAACGGAACUUGACAUUUUUUAAUACCAAAGGCAAGGAUUUCAGAGCUUCUUCUUUAGGAAUCAGUAGGAUUUGUCCAAUAGGACACAUGUCACCAAAAUGACAAGCAGAAUAUGAUGAAAUGACACAAAUUGUAUAUUCUACAGAAAUACCUAGAUAUAGUAAGGUACAACCUGAUUUGCAAACACCUUUGAAAGUCCGAUCACUUGCUGCCCGGCCCCUUGAAAACUCCAAGACCAUGAUUUCCAGUGAGCUCUAGCCAGAACCAGCCUUUCCCCGGCCAUUGUAUGGCCUCCAAGGGGAAAUCAUCCAGCAUCCUUCCCUGCUCCCCCCACCAAUUCUUUCUUCUUGUGUAGAUUAAUAAUGCUCACAUCAGGUAUCUUCCUCUUCCUGUAUUUCCUGACAAGUACCAUUCAGAUGCUGAAACUGAGGCUCAAACAAAUGACAUGGCAGAGACGAGGUUCCAACGCCCAAGGCUGUGCCUGCUGCACCCCAGAGAGAAAAAAGAGCUAAUCCGUGGAAGCUAAGAGAGAAAACUGAAGACCUUCACAGAGGUCUGUAGUCCUUCAGGUCUGAGAGACCACCAUGGGAAACAAUAAAGAAGAGGAAGAGAAGGAAAGAGCUUUGUCACUUCUGACUAUACAUCUCUUGGUGGGGACUGGCCUGUGAUUUUCCCUCAAGAGACAAAUUUGAUCACAACACCCUGCUGUUUAAAGCUCUUUGCUGAUAACAGGAGCAAAAUCAACAAUAAUAAUGAACAGGCACUUACUGAGCUCUUUUAUGUGCCAGGAACCAUACCUGCAUUAUCUUUGGGUAUUUUAUCCAAAAACUCCUUGGUUGUUUGAUGUCAUUAUCCCCAUUAUAAAGAUGAGGAAAGUGAGGCCCAGGCAGGUUAAAGAACUGCUCAGAGUUAGCUCAUUUCAGAGGUGGCGUUGCAACGCAGGCAGUCUGCCCUUGGAAGGCGUUCCUACCCAGCUCUUCAGGGGUCUUCUUCAGGGGCUCCCUGUUGCCUGCAGUGUCCCAUCUGUAUUCUUUAGCAGGGGCACAAGCCCCCACACAAUCUGGCCCUGACUCACCAUCUGCCAUGACCCUUUGCACACCUGCCAUCUGAAGGUCAUUGAAUCAUUGAAAACAUGCUGUUGGGUGUGCCUGUGUCUGUGAAGAGAGUGUUCCCCUCAGCCCCAAAUGCCUUUCCCUCCCAAGCCACUUGACAUACUCAUCUUCUGGAGCUCGGCCAAACAGCACUUCUGUGGUCAGUGAAAUUCAGUUCAGUGCAUAUUAAUUAAGCAUGUACUUUGUUCUGAACCCCAAGCGAGGCACUGAAAGUUUAAUGAUGUGAAAGAGACAUGGGUUUCCUGCCUUCAAGGGAGCUUCUGAUUAUUAGAGAGAUGAGCGUUCUGAUCAGGGGUGUCCAGGCUGCAGGGAGCAGGUGGUAGAGGCCAAGGCUGACACUCCUGGAAAUCAGGACAGGAGCACAGAUGAGAAAAGUGGGCACCAUCACUCAGUCUCCCUUGUAGCUGUUGCACGUCUUCACAUUUGAAGACGUGGCAUCUUCACGUCUCUGUCUGCUGCUGCUGCUAAGUCAUUCUUGCAAGUAAGUAUGUCAAUAUUAGUUUAUAUGUAUAGUAUGCUUUAUAAAUCUUUUGAGCAGUAUCCAAGAAAUACCAAGUUUGGGAAGAAAAAUGUGUUCUUCAUUAGCGAUUUCCACAUGAGAUCCCGUGCCGUGAGCCUUGCUAGAAGAGAUGCGUGUUACAGCUUCGGGGCAGCUGGAAAGUUGAUCUUUCAUCAGGCGCAGUGGGCUCUGCUGAAAACCAAGGCUUCCUCUCCCACACCGCCGUGGGGAUGUGAAAUGGCACCACGACUGUGGAGAGGAGAUCAGCGGCUCCUCCAGAUGUUCAACACAGAGUUAUCACGUGACCCAGCAAGUCACUCUUUGUGUGUACCCAACAGAAUUGAAAACAUCUGUCCACACACAAACGUGUCCAUGAAUGUUCACAGUACCAUUAUUCCUAAUAGCCAAAGAGUGGGGGGGGGAAGCAAAUGUCCGUCAACUACAGAUGGUUUAACAGAAUUUGGUGUUAUAGUAUACCCAUGCAGUGGAGUGUCAUUAUUGUUGGGCAAUAAAAAGGAAUGAAGUAUUUGCACAUGCUACAAUGUGGAUGAACCUUGAAACCAAAAUGCUACAUAACAAAACCCAGACUCAAAAGGCCACGUAUUAGGUGACUCAACCUAUGUGAAAUGUCCAGAAUAGGAGACUUUGCAGAGAUAGGAAGGUGGUUAACAGGUGCCA